RNAcentral lists this transfer RNA (68 nucleotides) under Anolis marcanoi. RNAcentral's name for it is "tRNA-Trp". It matches the Rfam family "tRNA". Rfam says of the family: Transfer RNA (tRNA) molecules are approximately 80 nucleotides in length. Their secondary structure includes four short double-helical elements and three loops (D, anti-codon, and T loops). The record is from RNAcentral. Lineage: Eukaryota; Metazoa; Chordata; Lepidosauria; Squamata; Anolidae.
AAAAACUUAGGAUAAACAAACCAAGGGCCUUCAAAGCCCAAAAUAAGGGUGCAAGUCCCCUAGUUUUU